UUAACUCUUGAUUGGAAAAUAUGAUAGAGUUGCCAGAUAAAAUAUAUUUAGGAUAUUUUCACAUUAAAAUGUUAUUUAUUAUUUUUCUGAAAUUCAAAUUUUACUCGUCCUCUUGUAUUUUUAUAUUCUAUUUGUUUGCUAAAUCUGGAAACCUAAAAAGUGGACUCUUUUUUCUUUAACCACACAAACUAGGACUGUGACCAAAGAGAGAUACUGAAACCAGAACGUUCUUCUGCAAUUGAUAUUCACAACUAACUGACUAAACAUUCUGGUCGAGGAUGAGCAGUGAUUUGGUAUCUAGUACAGAUGUGUAUGGUGUGAUGCCAACCAGCCCCUGGCCAGUCUCUGUGAGCCUAGAAGCAUACAUACUUAAGGGAGUGCAGGUCUUGCCCUGCGACCUGCAGCAGCACACUCCGCCUCCCCCACCUCUUUCCCCUCCCUCUGGUCCUCCUUUCUCCAUCUGUCCCUUAGGGCUUAGGAGCUGAGCCCAAGGCUUCUGUAGGUUAUCACCAUCCCUGGGCUGCCUUCUUCCUCCUGAGAGGGGGCAGGGCAGGAUGAGAAAUGACCUCCAUUUAGCUAAAUUCAGGAGUGAGAUGACAUCCAUGUCACUAUCUUUUGCUUUUUAUGGAAAAAAUAUCUCUUUAGGCAAAUUUCUUACAUAGUUGCUUAAUCUUGUCUAAAAUGUGCUUUAUUUAAGAGUUUCACUCUCAGAGGAGGAUUUUGUUCUUCAAUUGUGGAGUGAUCUCUAUCACCAGUGACUAAAGAUGUUGGAGCACAGAGAGCCAUACCCCAAAAUAUGAUGCUUCGGCAUGCUGACUGCUUUGAAAAUUGAAAGGCCUCAGAAAUAAUCCUCAGUGCCAGGGUCUCCCUCUGACCUCCCCCUACCUCCCUUUCUCUCUGAUCCUGUCUCUCCCAAAGCACAGAAUGAAGCUGUUCUCUGAAUUCCCUUAUCUACCUAGAAACUGGACCCCCAAAGAGGAACACAAUUUGCCUUUGAUCCCUUCCCUGAAAUUUCAUUAACCAGAGAAAAUUAAAACUUCUAUCACAAAGGAAGAGACUGAACAUUAAACACCAUAGCUACAGCCCAGACAAACUUCUUCCCAAACCAUUGUUUGUUCUCCUGCCUGUUAAAUUGCCAGAGAAUCAUUCACAAGAUAAAGUCUGCCUUCUGGGUCCAUUCAUUCCCCACUAAAAAUCUUUUACUCCUACACCCUCAUGUCUCCUUCCUCCAUGAAGAAGGGUCUAUAAACCUCUAGGCCUCAUUGGGUUAUUGGGUAAUCAUUCUCAUGCAGUUCCCCUGUGCUCUGCAUGUUAAAUAAAUUUGUAUGCCUUUUUCUCCUACCUGCCUUUUGUCAUUUUCAGUGAACCUUCAGAAGGUAAAGGCAGAAGCUUUCCUUCUUUGCCCCUAUAGUGUCAACAACAGCCAGCCAGGCAAAGGGUUUCAGAAACCCAAGUGGGAUUAAGAUGAUUAGCCACAUGGCUCUAUUCUACAAACUAGUGGUCAGAAUAACAAGCGUUUGCUUAUUAGGAGGUCGAGGUGGGAGAA
RNAcentral lists this long non-coding RNA (1546 nucleotides) under Homo sapiens (human). Its description in RNAcentral is "HSALNT0094650". Lineage: Eukaryota; Metazoa; Chordata; Mammalia; Primates; Hominidae. The record is from RNAcentral.